UGCCAGCAGCCGCGGUAAUACGGGGGGGGCAAGCGUUGUUCGGAUUUACUGGGCGUAAAGGGCGCGUAGGCGGUUUCAGAAGUUUUGGGUGAAAGCCCCCGGCUCAACCGGGGAAGUGCCUGGAAAACCAUGGGACUGGAGUGCUGGAGAGGCAAGCGGAAUUUCUGGUGUAGCGGUGAAAUGCGUAGAUAUCAGAAGGAACAUCGGAGGCGAAGGCGGCUUGCUGGACAGACACUGACGCUGAGGCGCGAAAGCUAGGGGAGCAAACGGGAUUAGAUA
RNAcentral lists this ribosomal RNA (279 nucleotides) under uncultured bacterium. Its description in RNAcentral is "partial 16S ribosomal RNA". It matches the Rfam family "Bacterial small subunit ribosomal RNA", at positions 506 to 784 of the family's 1533-position model. The record is from RNAcentral.